Bactrocera neohumeralis is the source of this 690-nucleotide long non-coding RNA. RefSeq lists it as uncharacterized. The record is from RefSeq and is a predicted model, not a curated record. The transcript has 2 exons. NCBI's taxonomy places the organism in Eukaryota, Metazoa, Arthropoda, Insecta, Diptera, Tephritidae.
AUUUCCUUUCGUAGUUGGCUGUUUGGAUGGGACACAUUUUAAAAUAAACACACCGAAGAAGGAUGCAAUUAGCUACUAUGACCGAAAGGGGAACUAUUCCAUUAUUAUGCAGGGCAUAUGCGACAGCACAUUUCGUUUCUUGGAUGUUUUCAUCGGAUACCCAGGGAGCUGCCAUGACGCCAACGUAUGGAAAAAUAGUCCGAUAUACAAAGGAAUUACGUCUGGAGAGAUACAACUUGCAAAAGAUGCUAUAAUUUUAGCUGACUCAGCUUAUCCUCUUACGAAAUAUUUGAUCGCGCCUUAUAGAGAUAAUGGACAUCUGUUGAGAGAGGAGAAACAAUUUAAUUAUUAUUUAAGUUCAACUCGAGUAUUCAUAGAACAAGCUUUUGGGAUUUUGAGGGGAAAGUUCAAAAUUUUAAAUCAUAUUGAUAUUCAAAAUAUGGAAGAUGUAUCAAAAGUAGUAUUAGCUUGUGUAAUUCUGCAUAAUUUAAUAAUGCGGAACAAUUUUAAUGAUCCUGAAGUCAAUUAUCUAUUGGAAAAUUUGGAAACACAUUAUGAAAACGAUGCUGAAACGCCUGACAACAUAAAUGAUACUAACGAAGGUAUUAUCAGAAGAAAUAAUUUAAAAAUGUUGUUUGUUUCUUAAAUUAUAUAUUUUUUAAUAAAAAUGUUAGUAAAUAAAUACAUGUA